ACAGGUUUCGACUGAGGUUUUGUUUCGGCAGGAGAAGCGAGCCGAGCUCAGACAACUCGUAAAACUAUCUGGAAAAUAUAAACGUCAACAAUACAAGCGAAUACGCUUUAGCUGCUUAAUUGCAGCUCGCCAAACUAGAGUGCGCCCACGACUCUAGAGCGGCGUCAUUGCAGUGGGCUUACCUUACCCGGACACCCAUAAGGGUUUAAGGAAAAUUUCAUGGGCUAGCAACCGGCUUACCCCGCCUGUGGGGACGCCGCAAGCGAACCUUUAAGCGCAGGAUACGCUCGUAGAUGCUUCUGUGGAGAUGCUUUAGGACGUGGGUUCGAUUCA
RNAcentral lists this transfer-messenger RNA (333 nucleotides) under Candidatus Aquicultor secundus. RNAcentral's name for it is "Actinobacteria bacterium CG17_big_fil_post_rev_8_21_14_2_50_50_24 transfer-messenger RNA". It matches the Rfam family "transfer-messenger RNA". Rfam says of the family: Bacterial tmRNA, also known as 10Sa RNA or SsrA, is named for its dual tRNA and mRNA-like properties. The record is from RNAcentral. Lineage: Bacteria; Bacillati; Actinomycetota; Candidatus Aquicultoria; Candidatus Aquicultorales; Candidatus Aquicultoraceae.